Molecule: ribosomal RNA, 492 nt
Filed under: uncultured bacterium
Lineage: Bacteria
Description: partial 16S ribosomal RNA
Rfam family: Bacterial small subunit ribosomal RNA
Source: RNAcentral
AGUGAACGCUGGCGGUAGGCCUAACACAUGCAAGUCGAACGGCAGCACAGUAAGAGCUUGCUCUUACGGGUGGCGAGUGGCGGACGGGUGAGGAAUACAUCGGAAUCUACUUUUUCGUGGGGGAUAACGUAGGGAAACUUACGCUAAUACCGCAUACGACCUACGGGUGAAAGCAGGGGAUCUUCGGACCUUGCGCGAUUGAAUGAGCCGAUGUCGGAUUAGCUAGUUGGCGGGGUAAAGGCCCACCAAGGCGACGAUCCGUAGCUGGUCUGAGAGGAUGAUCAGCCACACUGGAACUGAGACACGGUCCAGACUCCUACGGGAGGCAGCUGUGGGGAAUAUUGGACAAUGGGCGCAAGCCUGAUCCAGCCAUACCGCGUGGGUGAAGAAGGCCUUCGGGUUGUAAAGCCCUUUUGUUGGGAAGGAAAAGCAGCAGGUUAAUACCCCGCUGUUCUGACGGUACCCAAAGAAUAAGCACCGGCUAACUUCGUG